Long non-coding RNA from Pecten maximus, 5098 nucleotides. RefSeq lists it as uncharacterized. The record is from RefSeq and is a predicted model, not a curated record. NCBI's taxonomy places the organism in Eukaryota, Metazoa, Mollusca, Bivalvia, Pectinida, Pectinidae. The transcript is spliced from 2 exons.
UUGUGUGAAUACCUGUUUGUGUGUAAGGUCUAUGUACGUGUGAAUACCUGUUUGUGUGUACGGUCUACAUACGUGUGAAUACCUGUUUGUGUGUAAGGUCUAUGUACGUGUGAAUACCUGUUUGUAAGGACUACAUACCUGUGAAUACCUGUUUGUGUGUAAGGUCUACAUACCUGUGAAUACCUGUUUGUGUGUAAGGUCUCUGUAUGUGUGAAUACCUGUUUGUGUGUAAGGUCUAUGUACGUGUGAAUACCUGUUUGUGUGUAAGGUCUACAUACCUGUGAAUACCUGUUUGUGUGUAAGGUCUAUGUACGUGUGAAUACCUGUUUGUAAGGACUACAUACCUGUGAAUACCUGUUUGUGUGUAAGGUCUAGAUGGUGGAAAAUUGUAACCUCGUCCAGAUGGUAAAUAUUCAGAGUAUUGUAGAAAAUGGAUUUUAAGAUUGCUGUCCUAUUGUUUAGAGAACAACAAUCUUAAAUGAGACUACAAUAUUAGUUAUCAGAAGAUGUAGAUCAGUGAGUGAAGGAUUUGAGAAUACCUGGUUGUUACCUGGUAAAGGGAUGGAAGCAAAGGAAAGAUCUGAGCAUAUCUGAUCGGUCUUCAAUGAAUAAGAAGCUAAAUUUCUUGUUUUUGUCUUUUUUUUUUUAAUUAGUAUGGUUAACUCCUUAACGUCCUUAAUAUAUUUAGCCAAACUCUCAGUCAAGGGAAGCAUAUUGACUUGUUUACAUAUUUUACAUAAUUUUUUAUAUCCUUUCCUUGAUUAGAAGCAUUGUCCCUCAACUGGUGCUGUUGAUACAUUUACCUUUUUAACAGUUCAUACCCCAGUCCUUAAUACUUCAACAGGAUUCACUUUUUAACACAGAAGUUCCUUUCUGAAUCAACACUAAUUUUGUUAACAUCUUUUCAAUGAUUUCAAAUUAUUGGCAUGUUUUAAACUUUUUUUUUUCAAGAAAAAUCUACUGGAAGUCAUCAAAGUGAGAGAAGAUUGUUUUAAUAAACACUUUGUUUCCUGAUGAAUUAUUUAGGUAAACCCUGUAAAACCCUGUUAACUAUCUUACAGAAAUCCUGAGAGUUAUAUUUGUUUUUUCAAAAAUAAAAUUAUGAAAAAAAAAAUGUCAUUUUUUCUACCGACCAGGGACCAUAUUCAUGAAACUGUACUCAUGCGCUAACUCAAGGUUUUGUGCUCAAAAAUAAAGUCUUGUAAUCACUGAUUUAGUUCUCAUGCUCAAGUCAUCUACAGGAAAAAUUCUUUGCUCAAGAUUUGAGCACAAUAUGAAGUUUCUUGAGUAGAGUAUUGCCCAUGCUCAGGGUAUUUUUCCUCAUCAUGACAGUGGGAUACUUUGGUGAUAGAGAGGUUAGAUCAAGCCAAGGCUGUGAGUAAUAAUGGAUCGCCAAAAGUCCUGGAGCACUUAUCAGAAGAAUUGCUCUGGCAUUUUAGAGUCUGACAGGUUUCCGAUACUGUAAUCUAUAUUAUUCAUUUAGUAGUAGGUCACACAUAGAAUGUUCAAAGCACAUCCAUCUAACACCUAGUGUUGGAGGUUCUCAUUACCUUUACAACCGGAGCUUUCCAGCAGCCGUAGACACCGUGAAAAUUUACUAGUCCACUGUCAGCUACAUGUAGCUAGGGAGUGGCCAUGAUCCUCACAAGAUUAUUUAAUAAGUUUAUUUCCCAAAAGCAGAUACAGGAUAAGAGCUAAGCAAGAGUAGGAGUAGUAGCCAGAUAAACCUAGGCACACAUCUGAGCAUGAGUUUGAGCUUGAGUUUGAGUACAGUUUCAUGAAUACGGGCCCCAAUUUUAUUUAUUUUUUUCUCUAUCUUUCAAAUACAGAUUUUUAGAUAUUGUGCAAUAUUAUUUUUUGUUGGCAAUUAAUGAAAUAAAUUCAAAAAGGUAUUACCGGUAUGUAAUAUUAGGUUAAUUGUGUUCUGGUAGCUUUAUAUGUACAAAGUAUUCGUAAUGAUUUUAAGAAACAAAAUGUCUCAGUGAAAAUACUUGUUAAAAAAUUGAUAUUGCUUCAUUUGAUUACAUUAUGUGUUAUUCUAAUAUUUUCCAUCAAGUAGAGAAGUUCAAGUGACAUAAAUCUUUCAUGGGUAGUGUAGAAGCCCCACUUAAAGGUAUGCAUUUUAUAAUGUUCAUUUCUACACCAAAUAAUUACAGAUCAAGGAAGAAAAGAUCAUAACGAAACUGGUUUGAGAUUUGUAUGAAGCCAUACAUUUUUAUCGAGAUCUGUUUUCUUUUCUGGAUAAGUUGGUCAUAACUUAACCUCAAUAUCUAUGAAUAUUUUGCCCCAUUUGUACCAAGAAAUAGCAUAUUUAGUUCAUAAUGUUACAGUGUACUGACAAACAUACUGAGAAUAAAUUGUUUUGGUUGUGAUAACACUAUCAUAUUGGACAUGUGUCAUGAUAGAGUCAUUAUGGUUUUGACCUGCUUUGUAGGGUUAUAUUUAUUGUGUACCAGUAUUGGUAAUUCCUUAGGAAGAAAUCUGGGACAUGAGAAAUGUUUACCGCAGUAGAUAUACUGUAACUCGGUAUGGUUAUAUCAUAAAGGUAAUAUAAAUAUCACUAUUACACCCUCAUCCAAGUACACUUACUGAACACUCUAAUCCAACCCAGCUUCAUUAGUGUUUGUACACUCAGUGAACACCCCAGCUCCAUUUGUACACUGACUAACACAUUUGACAUGUUACCAUGGAAACCCAUAUUAUCUGUUUGAAACAAAUACAGUACUACUGGUUAUACAGUUUCUUUCCUUUGAGUAAAAUUUUAAACUUGGACCCCAAAUAUUAUCUGGUACUGUAUGGUUUUCUGUUUCACAAAUUGUUAUUUCAUUGUGUUUUGUUGAAAUAAUAUCAAGUCAUUAAUUGAUCAUUAAUAUUGUAUCAAUAUUGUAUAGCAACAUUUGUAUUGUACCAUAUCAUGGUGAUUAUUAGAUUGUUUAAAAGUGUCUUAUAAAGUCUAUUAUUGUUAUUAGAUACAUGUUAUGUCUACAGUAAAAGUCCACAGUUACAGUAUACAUCCCCACAGAGGGGAUGAUACCACUGGAUUUUUAUGUGUUUAAUGUAGACUAUUGAAUUAUUACAUAUAUACAUAUAUUACUCUAAUUUCCUGGGUAUAACCUGCUCUGGCGGAUAGCUUUGAGAAGCAAAAUGUAACAUUCUUAAGCAUUUAGUUCAAAUCUUUCAAGAUCACCUGCUGCAGCAGAUCACCCACAGGAAAUACUUUGAAUUUACAUCUACAAAAGACAAUAUAGAUAUUUUUUGGUGAUCAUUAUUCAAGUCCAAAGUUACUUUUAUUCAUAUUUUACUAUAUUUCGUAUACAUUAUGCUGUAACUAAAGAGGUAAAAAUGUGUAAUACAAAUGUGUUUUAUUUAAGUACAUCUAGAACUUGUACGAUCACUAAAAUAAAAAAAUAAACACAUAGUCUGCAUUUGAUUCCAUUAAAAGAAAACACAGAUAGCCCACAAAAUUCAUCUUCAUAUUUAAAAAGUAAGACAGGUAUAUGCAGGAGAUUAAGGUCAUCUCUGGAUAUCUUAACUUAUAUGGUAAGUUACACUGAACAAUCACAUAUACAUAAUGUACAUCAUCACAUAGACAUUAUAUAUAUAUAUCUUAUGUGUUUAGUAUUGAGUGUUUAAUAUAUUAUACGACAUACCCUGAUAUAGAAUUCUACCUCGAGAGUAAGGUUUUCCAUUGAAAUGUUCAUAAAUGUAUCCUGUUGGUGAUUGUGAACAUUUAAGGUGAUUACUAGUUCUAUCUAAGUCAAAAACCGUUGCAACCCAAAAUUCCCAAAACUUUGUGCACUAUUUUAAUAUUUCUGCAUAAAAAAUCACUGAUAGAAAAUACUGAUUUCUCACACAUUUUGCCUAUUUUCAUGUCUGUGAUACAUUUUGCAUAAUUCGUAUUGUAAAAUGAUAACAAAUCAAACAAUCAAUUUGAAUCUCACUUAAAUUGUGGGAUAUUUUGCCUCAGAGUUAGCAGUAGGUAUUAGAUUUCAUUACAGGAGAAUGAUUUCCUCAAGCACUAGGUAUUAGAUUUCAUUACAGGAGAAUGAUUUCCUCAAGCACUAGGUAUUAGAUUUCAUUACAGUAGAAUGAUUUCCUCAAGUAGUUGGUGUGUGCAACGUGCUGUAAAUAAAAUUUAGCUUGACAAGGGGCAUAACUCCGACAGCCUUCAGUUUUCAUUUAAUAUCGUAAUAAUUAUGUAGAUGUGGUGUUUCAACAUUGUUUUACACUAAAUUUUUAAUCUUGUAAACAUUUCCACUCAACAUUCCAACCCUCCCACUCCAUCCCCAGGUUAAUUAAGAUCUCUGCUGGUGAUUCUCCUUACCCAGUUCUGACUCUGUCAAUAUAGACUGAUAUGUAGAAUUAUUGUAACAAUGUAAAUACAGACUUUUACCAUAGUAAGAACAACUUAUUUCUGAUAAAUAAUAUGGACUAAGUGGUUACAAAUAAAUAAUACAUGUAUAAUAGUAUGAUGGAUAGGCACUUUUGUCCAAUGGAUCUCUGUACAGGUCGAAUAGUUUUAGUCUAAUAUUCCUUGUACCCUGGUACAGUAUGUUCAUAGAUCCAAUAUUAAACAUGGGAUAGAUUUGGAAAUACUUGCUAGCUCCAAAUAUAAAGUCUUCACUUUGAUCUCGACUUUGUAUUUAUUGACCAAGUUGUCUUUAGACUGGCUUUUAAUUGAUGUUGAAUGUUAGUGAAGAUAUUGUAUUAUAUUAGGAACAUGUAAGUUAGAUAAUUUAAAUUAUGCUUUAAGUACAAUUCAUUUUUAUCUGUUUAAGUUUUAAGAACCAUAUAUACACUGUAGCUUUUCUCUCUACGUCAUCAAAGAUAUUCACUUUUCUAUGACAGAGGGAGGAUGUUACCAGGAUGUAAGGGAAAUGGCUGUUCUACAUAAUAAACUACAUUUUUGGUAGUGCUUUCAUAUCAAUGCUUCCUGCACAUUUCAUAAUAUUUUGAUAUACAUUGGUGUGAAGCUUAAUGUUGUGUUCACAAGUAAUUUUAGAAAUAUAUAGAUAAUUUUAUAGACUGAAAACGAAUGAUGCAAUAUCAAUGAAUAUUUUUAUGGUUAUUUUAUUUAAUAAAACAAUAUUCACUUAUA